RNAcentral lists this ribosomal RNA (430 nucleotides) under uncultured Arthrobacter sp. RNAcentral's name for it is "bacterial SSU rRNA". It matches the Rfam family "Bacterial small subunit ribosomal RNA", at positions 354 to 796 of the family's 1533-position model. Lineage: Bacteria; Bacillati; Actinomycetota; Actinomycetes; Micrococcales; Micrococcaceae. The record is from RNAcentral.
GUGGGGAAUAUUGCACAAUGGGCGAAAGCCUGAUGCAGCGACGCCGCGUGAGGGAUGACGGCCUUCGGGUUGUAAACCUCUUUCAGUAGGGAAGAAGCGAAAGUGACGGUACCUGCAGAAGAAGCGCCGGCUAACUACGUGCCAGCAGCCGCGGUAAUACGUAGGGCGCAAGCGUUAUCCGGAAUUAUUGGGCGUAAAGAGCUCGUAGGCGGUUUGUCGCGUCUGCUGUGAAAGACCGGGGCUCAACUCCGGUUCUGCAGUGGGUACGGGCAGACUAGAGUGCAGUAGGGGAGACUGGAAUUCCUGGUGUAGCGGUGAAAUGCGCAGAUAUCAGGAGGAACACCGAUGGCGAAGGCAGGUCUCUGGGCUGUAACUGACGCUGAGGAGCGAAAGCAUGGGGAGCGAACAGGAUUAGAAACCCCAGUAGUCC